ACGGCUCAGUAACACGUAGUCAAUCUACCCUAUGGACGGGAAUAACCUCGGGAAACUGAGAAUAAUGCCCGAUAGAACAUUAUGCCUGGAAUGGUUUAUGUUUCAAAUGAUUUAUCGCCAUAGGAUGGGACUGCGGCCUAUCAGUUUGUUGGUGAGGUAAUGGCCCACCAAGACUAUUACAGGUACGGGCUCUGAGAGGAGUAGCCCGGAGAUGGGUACUGAGACACGGACCCAGGCCCUAUGGGGCGCAGCAGGCGAGAAAACUUUGCAAUGUGCGAAAGCACGACAAGGUUAAUCCGAGUGGCUUCUGCUAAAGAAACCUUUUGUCAGUCCUAGAAACACUAACGAAUAAGGGGUGGGCAAGUUCUGGUGUCAGCCGCCGCGGUAAAACCAGCACCUCAAGUGGUCAGGAUGAUUAUUGGGCCUAAAGCAUCCGUAGCCCGUUUUGUAAGUUUUCGGUUAAAUCCAUGCGCUUAACGUAUGGGCUGCCGGGAAUACUGCAUAACUAGGAAGUGGGAGAGGUAGACGGUACUCGUAGGAAGGGGUAAAAUCCUUUGAUCUAUUGAUGACCACCUGUGGCGAAGGCGGUCUACCAGAACACGUUCGACGGUGAGGGAUGAAAGCUGGGGGAGCAAACCGGAUUAGAUACCCGGGUAGUCCCAGCUGUAAACUAUGCAAACUCAGUGAUGCAUUGGCUUAUGGCCAAUGCAGUGCUGCAGGGAAGCCGUUAAGUUUGCCGCCUGGGAAGUACGUACGCAAGUAUGAAACUUAAAGGAAUUGGCGGGGGAGCAC
RNAcentral lists this ribosomal RNA (792 nucleotides) under uncultured archaeon. RNAcentral's name for it is "bacterial SSU rRNA". It matches the Rfam family "Archaeal small subunit ribosomal RNA", at positions 85 to 879 of the family's 1478-position model. The record is from RNAcentral.